CCUACGGGUGGCAGCAGUAGGGAAUCUUGCGCAAUGGGCGAAAGCCUGACGCAGCAACGCCGCGUGAUCGAGACGCCCUUCGGGGUGUAAAGAUCUGUCAGUGGGGACGAAGCAAGUGACGGUACCUGAGGAAUAAGCCACGGCUAACUACGUGCCAGCAGCCGCGGUAAUACGUAGGUGGCAAGCGUUAUCCGGAUUUACUGGGUGUAAAGGGCGUGUAGGCGGGACUGCAAGUCAGAUGUGAAAACCACGGGCUCAACCUGUGGCCUGCAUUUGAAACUGUAGUUCUUGAGUACUGGAGAGGCAGACGGAAUUCCUAGUGUAGAGGUGAAAUGCGUAGAUAUUAGGAGGAACACCAGUGGCGAAGGCGGUCUGCUGGACAGCAACUGACGCUGAGGCGCGAAAGCGUGGGGAGCAAACAGGAUUAGAUACCCUGGUAGUC
RNAcentral lists this ribosomal RNA (442 nucleotides) under uncultured bacterium. RNAcentral describes it as "partial 16S ribosomal RNA". It matches the Rfam family "Bacterial small subunit ribosomal RNA", at positions 338 to 795 of the family's 1533-position model. The record is from RNAcentral.